UGGGGAAUAUUGCACAAUGGGCGCAAGCCUGAUGCAGCGACGCCGCGUGAGGGAUGACGGCCUUCGGGUUGUAAACCUCUUUCAGCAGGGAAGAAGCGCAAGUGACGGUACCUGCAGAAGAAGCGCCGGCUAACUACGUGCCAGCAGCCGCGGUAAUACGUAGGGCGCAAGCGUUGUCCGGAAUUAUUGGGCGUAAAGAGCUCGUAGGCGGCUUGUCACGUCGGGUGUGAAAGCCCGGGGCUUAACCCCGGGUCUGCAUUCGAUACGGGCAGGCUAGAGUGUGGUAGGGGAGAUCGGAAUUCCUGGUGUAGCGGUGAAAUGCGCAGAUAUCAGGAGGAACACCGGUGGCGAAGGCGGAUCUCUGGGCCAUUACUGACGCUGAGGAGCGAAAGCGUGGGGAGCGAACA
RNAcentral lists this ribosomal RNA (407 nucleotides) under uncultured Streptomyces sp. Its description in RNAcentral is "bacterial SSU rRNA". It matches the Rfam family "Bacterial small subunit ribosomal RNA", at positions 355 to 774 of the family's 1533-position model. Lineage: Bacteria; Bacillati; Actinomycetota; Actinomycetes; Kitasatosporales; Streptomycetaceae. The record is from RNAcentral.